Molecule: ribosomal RNA, 424 nt
Filed under: uncultured prokaryote
Description: bacterial SSU rRNA
Rfam family: Bacterial small subunit ribosomal RNA
Source: RNAcentral
UCGGGAAUUUUGCCCAAUGGGGGAAACCCUGAGGCAGCAACGCCGCGUGAGGGAUGAAGGCCUUCGGGUUGUAAACCUCUUUUCUCAGGGACGAUAAUGACGGUACCUGAGGAAUAAGCCACGGCUAACUACGUGCCAGCAGCCGCGGUAAUACGUAGGUGGCAAGCGUUGUCCGGAUUUACUGGGCGUAAAGAGCGCGCAGGCGGCCAGGUAAGUCGAAUGUGAAAGCCCCCGGCUCAACUGGGGAGGGUCAUUCGAUACUGCUUGGCUUGAAGAUAGGAGAGGGAAGUGGAAUUUCAGGUGUAGUGGUGAAAUGCGUAGAUAUCUGAAGGAACACCAGUGGCGAAGGCGACUUUCUGGCCUAUUCUUGACGCUGAGGCGCGAAAGCUAGGGGAGCGAACGGGAUUAGAUACCCCCGUAGUCC